GAUUGGGGGGGGGGAGAGGGAGAGGGAGAGAUUGGAGGAAAGAUCGCAGCGACCAAGCCACCCGCUCUUCCGCCUCUGCACCAGGGCGAAGGAAAACAAGUCUUUCUGCCCUAGAAAAAUCUUUUCCGGCUCCUGAGUAUGGCUGGUCUGAACCUUCAUUUUACAAUUACUGCCAACAUUGGAUAUAUGGGAGAGCACCUGCUGCAGAUGCCCUCCAGACGGAAGGGGACGCCGGAAGAGAAGGGAGGAGGAAGAGGCGAUGGUGAAGCCGAAGAAGCAAACACGCCGUCCGAAAAGGAAAAAAUAAACGCCGGCAGAGGAAUGCAAACGGUUCUUCUUUGAUAGCCUUAAGGAUCAGAGAAGCAGCACAUGAGUUUGAGAGACAAGGGUGAAGCUAUGAGGCCUUCAAUGAAGUUUGGGGAGAUGACUGACUGUGUCCAUAGAAGACUGGGCCUUUCUGGUGGCAGCUGCCAGGCUACAGUGUUGUCUUCUAAGGGAAGCUAGGCUGCCUCCUGACUUGCCCUCCCUGACCCCUUUCUAUUGCCCUUCCGUUGUCAAGCCAUAAUUUCUUUAUGUUGGUGGGUUGUACUUCCUUACUGGGUAGCUGUUGUAUUUCCUUACUGCUAUACUUUUAAAUUGCUGUCUAUUCAAUUGUGUUCUAAUGUUUAAUUAUUAUUUAAUUUUAUAACUUUGUAAAGCUGUGACUACACGGUCAAAUACUGUGGGAUUUGCUCUGCUUUUGAAACAGACGAAUUUAUAUUUUAUUGAUCACACAACACCAAGGCCAGUUUGAAUCAGUCCAGCCCUCUUUGCUUCCAACAUAGCUUUCUUUCCCCUUGGCUUCUGGGUACUUUUACUUCUUUCAAGCCAGAACAAUUUGGACAGACUAUUCGCCAUGUAAUAACUUGAUUUGUUCUUGUAAAGAUGGUUUUGUGUUUCGGUGAUGUAGGCAGUUGAGACUGUUACGGACUGCAGGAACAUGAACUUCCAUGUUCUUUCCCCUGAUCAUCCUCCAAUUAAAAAAAAUGUAUAUAGAUCACCUUAUCACUAAUAUUGAUAUACUAGUGUAGCACUAGAUCGCUUCCAUACAAGAAUGUUCUUUUUAAAAAAUAUUAUGAACAAGAGAAACAACCUGGAUAAAAUAAAAUACAUGCCUGUAGUGUGUGGUAUUUCUGUACUGUUAAGAAGAACUUUGAAACCUUUUAUGGAACACUAUAUAACCCUUUCAAAACCAAGUGGCUUGACAGUGAACAAUAAAAGGUUAGGCAGAGGUGGGACCAGAGGAAAGAAAGAAGGGGGUGGGGCUGUGGGAUGAAAUGCCAAUUGCAUAGCAUCCAGUGUGAACACUGAACUCCCAAAUCAGUCUGCAGUGUGUUAUCACUGAUGGUGAAUUCAACCAUAACACAGGCUGCAAAUAAAAUUGCAGCAAAGCUGAGUCAGGGUGAUUCAGCAUUCCAUUAUAGUCACAGCCUAACUCUGUUUUAAUAAGAUAUCUUGUGGCAUCUUUAUUUGCAUGUCCUUUGUAAUUAUGUUUUGUGCUGGUGUUCUAUGAGAAGGCAGGACAGAAACUGAAGAAAUAAAUUACAGAAAGUAUU
Molecule: non-coding RNA, 1595 nt
Organism: Pogona vitticeps (central bearded dragon)
Lineage: Eukaryota; Metazoa; Chordata; Lepidosauria; Squamata; Agamidae
Source: RefSeq, a predicted model, not a curated record